UUUUGAUAAACUAACGUGGUAUUGAAAGUUUGACUCGACAUGUUAGACGUUAAGUGCAUAUUGGUGUACAUAUUUUAUUUACAUACCUUUGAAUCGCUUCGUUGAAAAUCUCAAGUUCCUCAUAAGUUCCGUAGCAAUCAUAAGUGUCAUCUAAAAUUGUUGCUAUUGUUAACACUUUUGUUAAGAAAAUUCUAGAACGGGAAUAUUGAGGCUCAAAGUGAAGAUCGAAAGUUAAGCACGUAUUUCUUGAUGGGCCGCAAGUAGAGUUCUGGCAAUCUGUCUCUUACAUAAUGCAAAUUCUUUUGAGGCUCCAGAUCUUUCCACCACCUACA
RNAcentral lists this long non-coding RNA (332 nucleotides) under Helianthus annuus (common sunflower). Its description in RNAcentral is "sRNA HanXRQr2_Chr01g0008581". Lineage: Eukaryota; Viridiplantae; Streptophyta; Magnoliopsida; Asterales; Asteraceae. The record is from RNAcentral.